This 462-nucleotide ribosomal RNA is filed under the name uncultured bacterium. RNAcentral describes it as "partial 16S ribosomal RNA". It matches the Rfam family "Bacterial small subunit ribosomal RNA", at positions 28 to 507 of the family's 1533-position model. The record is from RNAcentral.
GAUCAACGCUGGCGGCGUGCUUAACACAUGCAAGUCGAACGAAGUUUUUCCUUCGGGAGAAACUUAGUGGCGGACGGGUGAGUAACGCGUGGGUAACCUGCCCUGUACAGGGGGACAACAGCUGUAAACGGCUGCUAAUACCGCAUAAGCCCUUAGCACUGCAUGGUGCAUAGGGAAAAGGAGCAAUCCGGUACAGGAUGGACCCGCGUCUGAUUAGCCAGUUGGCAGGGUAACGGCCUACCAAAGCGACGAUCAGUAGCCGAUCUGAGAGGAUGUACGGCCACAUUGGGACUGAGACACGGCCCAGACUCCUACGGGAGGCAGCAGUGGGGAAUAUUGCACAAUGGAGGAAACUCUGAUGCAGCGACGCCGCGUGAGUGAAGAAGUAUUUCGGUAUGUAAAGCUCUAUCAGCAGGGAAGAAAAUGACGGUACCUGACUAAGAAGCACCGGCUAAAUACGCG